GGUAAUUCCCGCGACUUUAGACCGAGGCUGCAUCUUCCUUUAAAGCACCUGAGAAGCAAGAAGCCAGUCGUUUCGUGUUUCGUGUUUAAAACAAUUGUUAACUUUAGCAGCUGUUUCGUGUAUCUGUUGAAGUCAUCGAAAUAGCAACAUGAAGCGGUUAGAGUCAAGUGGAUCGGCAAUAUUUCACAUGCUGGUUUCUGCUCAUGGGCUUUAUUCAUUUUACUGGCUUCGCAUGGUUGGAGGUUUCCGUUGGACGUCAAUGUUCUACUUUACAAUAUGGUCAUUGGUUGCCCAAAUUCUCACAUCAUUCUUGUUCUUCCUGAGUGAUAUGAAAGACCUUUUCAAAGAGGGGGACAAGAAACCAAUCAAAGAUGCAAAGAUUAAAGCAAGCGUUGCUGCUGCAGAAUCAAGCCACUACAAAUUUAUCCUGUUCCAUGUGUCAUUUGUGAUGUCUAUUGCCACUGGUAUCAUGUUUUGGGUUAUAUAUACAAUUGAACCAACAGCAUUAGUACCAAAAGAAUUCUUUUACCCUGAUUUGUUGAAUCAUAUGCACCAUACCUUCCCUUGGCUGCUUUCAAUAAUUCAGAUGUUUGUGUAUGCAAAAAGGGAAAUAAAUAGUUUUUCCUUGAAAAUGGAUGUUAUGCAAGCUAAUGAAGUUGGAAUGGUAAGUAUGUUCAUAGUUGGGGCCCUAUACACUAUGACUUCGGUUGCAUCAAAGUUUUUCCGUGGGUUUUACCCCUAUCCAUUUAUGAAUUCUUUGACUUCAAUACAAUACGGCAUUUUUAGUAUGUUUGGUAUGGCUUUUGCUUUAAUGCUGAGCAAUUUGUCUAAUCAGGUGCUCUUUAAGAUUGCAAAAUCCAUGCGAACACCCAAAGCUAUCGCGAAAAAUCGCUAGAUGUCUUACCAAUAGUGUUGUAAACACUUAAAGGCAAUUCUAUCUUAAAUCAUUUUGGUGAGGCUAGGCCAGCAACUAUCUUCUGCUAAUGUAACGUGAUGUAAAAAACUUUCAAUAAAGUUUGAGUGUUUUAAAAUUUUAAUCAUGUUAUGAUUGAAUAUUGAAUUCUAUGUUUUACAAAUA
This is a long non-coding RNA of Rhopilema esculentum, 1078 nucleotides long. RefSeq lists it as uncharacterized. Lineage: Eukaryota; Metazoa; Cnidaria; Scyphozoa; Rhizostomeae; Rhizostomatidae. The record is from RefSeq and is a predicted model, not a curated record.